UACGUAGGGCGCAAGCGUUGUCCGGAAUUAUUGGGCGUAAAGAGCUCGUAGGCGGCCUGUUGCGUCCGCUGUGAAAUCCCGGGGCUCAACCCCGGGCCUGCAGUGGAUACGGGCUGGCUGGAGGCAGGCAGGGGAGAACGGAAUUCCUGGUGUAGCGGUGAAAUGCGCAGAUAUCAGGAGGAACACCUGUGGUGUAGACAGCUUACUGGACCACUUCUGACGCUGAGACACGAAAGCGUGGGUAGCAAACAGG
This 253-nucleotide ribosomal RNA is filed under the name uncultured bacterium. RNAcentral describes it as "partial 16S ribosomal RNA". It matches the Rfam family "Bacterial small subunit ribosomal RNA", at positions 524 to 776 of the family's 1533-position model. The record is from RNAcentral.